RNAcentral lists this ribosomal RNA (407 nucleotides) under uncultured bacterium. RNAcentral's name for it is "partial 16S ribosomal RNA". It matches the Rfam family "Bacterial small subunit ribosomal RNA", at positions 28 to 526 of the family's 1533-position model. The record is from RNAcentral.
GACGAACGCUGGCGGCGUGCCUAAUACAUGCAAGUAGGACGCAGUUGCGAACGGGUGAGUAACGCGUAGGUAACUACCUAUUAGAGGGGGGUAACUAUUGGAAACGAUAGCUAAUACCGCAUACUAGUAGAUGGACCUGCGUUGUAUUAGAUAGUAGGUAGGGUAAUGGCCUACCUAGGCAACGAUACAUAGCCGAACUGAGAGGGGGGUCGGCCAAAAUGGGGAGGAGAAACGGCCCAGACUCCGAAGGGAGGCAGCAGGAGGGAAGCUUCGGCAAUGGGGGGAACCCUGAACGGGCAACGCCGCGUGAGUGAAGAAGGUUUUCGGAUCGUAAAGCUCUGUUGUUAAGGGAGCGGUACUUAACCAGAAAGGGACGGCUAACUACGUGCCAGCAGCCGCGGUAAUAC